This 808-nucleotide unclassified non-coding RNA is filed under the name Hevea brasiliensis (rubber tree). Lineage: Eukaryota; Viridiplantae; Streptophyta; Magnoliopsida; Malpighiales; Euphorbiaceae. The record is from RNAcentral.
GACAUGAUUCAUUUCAUCCAAACUAAAGAAAAAUCCUUCAUAUGAACAAGAUGAAAAUUAAAGGUUGCCAAAAAAUGAUGCAGGACACUAAAGAAUAUGACUACAAAAAGAAUAAUAACAAUAAGUCUAACAGCCCUGACCAAAACCAUGAACAUUUAUGAACAUUCAGGUUAAGCUUUUUUCCAUGAAAUUACUUCCAACCAUCUAUACAUAUGCCUGCACUUCACAAAGCUCUGCAACAUAAAAAGAAUCAAUCUGCAAACACUCUUGUCUAGCAAGUUCCAAUGAACGGCAAUGUUCUGCACUUCAGUUUGAAUUAGCGGGGCAGUACUUCAGCUACACGAUCAUGUGCAUCAGCUGGAAUUUCCCUACCCGGAACCUGGACCUUAAGAAGAUGAGAGUACUCUGCAAAUGAAAAAAGGUUCUCAUGCUCCGCGAUAAAUGCAAGUAGGGCCUCAAAUGGCAUGUUCAACAGCUCAUAGUACGUCCUAACACGGUCUAAUCUCAAUUGCACAGCUUCACCGUCGAUUGAGGGGAUAGCAGCCAAAGCCUGUUCCAGUGCAAUGGAAUUACGGCAUAUUUGCUGAACUCCAAACAGGUUGAUAGAUUUCAAAUCAGCCAAAGCCUUGAUUGAUCCAUUUGAAGCAACACUAGAUAUACCACCAAAUAUAUAGUUCCGCCUUGAUCCUGCAACGAAGGGUGCCAUUUCCUCAUCCCGGCGUGUUAUCAGGGAAGUUAUUGAAAUUAUAUAAUCAUCUGGCUCCUCUGCAUCUUGAUCGUCCAGGAAUUCCUUACUCGUCAUUUCCUG